GAACGAACGCUGGCGGCAUGGAUUAGGCAUGCAAGUUGAACGAACUCCUUCGGGAGUGAGUAGCGGAAGGGUGAGGAACGCGUGAGUAAUCUGCCCCCCAGUUGGGAAUAACAGUUGGAAACGACUGCUAAUACCGAAUGUGGCUUAAGCUUCGCCUGGAGCUUUGGCUAAAGAUUUAUCGCUGGGGGAUGAGCUCGCGUCCCAUUAGGUAGUUGGUGAGGUAACGGCUCACCAAGCCGACGAUGGGUAGCUGGUCUGAGAGGAUGGUCAGCCACACUGGGACUGAGACACUGCCCAGACUCCUACGGGAGGCUGUAGUCGAGAAUCUUGGGCAAUGCGCGAAAGCGUGACCCAGCAAUGCCGCGUGUAUGAUGAAGGCCCUCGGGUCGUAAAGUACUGUCUCCCGUGACGAAAUUUGACGGUAGCGGGGAAGGAAGCCACGGCUAACUACGUGCCAGCCGCCGC
RNAcentral lists this ribosomal RNA (465 nucleotides) under uncultured bacterium. RNAcentral's name for it is "bacterial SSU rRNA". It matches the Rfam family "Bacterial small subunit ribosomal RNA", at positions 27 to 518 of the family's 1533-position model. The record is from RNAcentral.